RNAcentral lists this ribosomal RNA (446 nucleotides) under uncultured bacterium. RNAcentral's name for it is "bacterial SSU rRNA". It matches the Rfam family "Bacterial small subunit ribosomal RNA", at positions 958 to 1400 of the family's 1533-position model. The record is from RNAcentral.
AACGCGAAGAACCUUACCUGGGUUUGACAUGCGCCGGAAAGCCAUAGAGAUAUGGCCCCUUUUAGUCGGUGUGCAGGUGGUGCAUGGCUGUCGUCAGCUCGUGUCGUGAGAUGUUGGGUUAAGUCCCGCAACGAGCGCAACCCUCGUUCCAUGUUGCCAGCGCGCCCUUCGGGGUGGCGGGGACUCAUGGGAGACUGCCGGGGUCAACUCGGAGGAAGGUGGGGAUGACGUCAAGUCAUCAUGCCCCUUAUGUCCAGGGCUUCACGCAUGCUACAAUGGCCGGUACAAAGGGCUGCGAUCCCGCGAGGGGGAGCGAAUCCCAAAAAGCCGGUCUCAGUUCGGAUUGGGGUCUGCAACUCGACCCCAUGAAGUCGGAGUCGCUAGUAAUCGCAGAUCAGCAACGCUGCGGUGAAUACGUUCCCGGGCCUUGUACACACCGUAGAGAC